RNAcentral lists this ribosomal RNA (1860 nucleotides) under Triticum aestivum (bread wheat). RNAcentral's name for it is "partial small subunit ribosomal RNA". The record is from RNAcentral. Lineage: Eukaryota; Viridiplantae; Streptophyta; Magnoliopsida; Poales; Poaceae.
AUGUUAAUAAACUCUAACAAAUCUGACAUUCACUUCCCGAGUGAGGAAGUUCUACACAGGGUCACUGGGUUUGUAGUUUUCAUCAAGUCUCACAAUGUCACUAUCGAGUUCAAGCCUUGGAAGCCAGAGGAGAUACCACACUGUUUCGAGCUGAUACCUAUUUGGGUCCGUGUGCAUGGGGUGCCUCACGCUCUCCGACACUUCUUGGGUCUGUGGGCGAUUGGCUCGGUGAUUGGCGCUACUCUCGACGUCGAUCUUCUCUGUUUACCUCGGAGAGGAAUUGUUCGUAUCCAGGUAGCCGUGCUGAACCUUGAUGCUUUCAAAAGCAGCACAAUUGACUCUCUCUCUACCGAUGUGGUGGUUCAAAGAAAAGGGGGCGACAAGGGGCAUGACAGGGAGGAUACAAUGAAGAGCAACGAUCCAAGCAAGAGGUCCAAACCCACUUCAUCUCCCAACAACUCUUCAGCCCUUCCUACCACGGGCGGAGUGGUGCCCAUGCAGAUGACCAGUGCCGUCACACCGCUGAACCCUCAUUGUGGUCUCCCUGUCACGGCUGCUUCUUCAUCAUUAAUGGGAUCUUCUUUGUCGGCACCGGCUUCUUCGUCUAUGGCUGCCCCUCCGACGACGUCGGCUCCUUUGUCUUUGGCGCCGCCGACUCCGACUCACGGGUCGGCACCGCCCCUUGACGAGGGGAGCCACGCGUGCCCUAUACCUAAGAGGGUGGCGCCUAUGGGGGUCACUGCGAGUGCUACAUCGUCGCUAACACCCGGCUCUCCGACUCGUCGGGGAGUGAUCUUCUCCCCGGCUGUUCGAGCUGGCCAGGAGUCGGCCAUGGCGGAGCUGCGAGCGCUGUCAUCUACUCCUUCGUCACCAGGGGGGCGUCGGCAUCCGGACUCGAGGAGGUUGAGGAGCAGCCCAUACGAUCUUCUUCUUCAUCGUCACAUUAGUCUACUCCGCCUCUCGGGGUCGCCGGGAUCCACCGAUGAGGACUCUAUGGUGAAGGCCAUGCGUAGGACGGCUGUCCGCAACCUCGACUUCGAUGGACGUAAUGAGCAAGAGGUAGAUUUUUCGGUUAAGGCUCUUAAACAAGUGGAGUUCGACCGGCUUACGGUUGCUCCUAAAUUGUCGAGCUUUGUUGACCCUCUCGUGUCAGAUGAGGAGGAUGAGGACGCUGAUGCCAAUCACGAAGGCAAGCUUCUCUCUCAUUUAGUUAAAGACACGACUAAAGUAGACCUUGACGAUACUGUACGCGACACUACGCUUUGUGAGCUUGUCGCUUCGGUGCGCAAGAACAAGUCUAACUCAGCAAAGAAAAGAGGGCACUCUUCUAAAAAGUCGCAGCCCAUCACAGCGCCCAUACUCAGUCGCUCUCAGUCUCACUCAACCCCUCGCCCAGCCCAUCACACAGCCCAUACUCAGCCGCUCGCAACCCCUAAAAAAAAAAUUCACCAUCUCGACGAGUCCCCACGCACCCGCACGGCACCCCGUGUCGCCGACGGCGAGGUUGCCUCCGGAUCCCACGGCGCCGACAGCAGAACCAGCCCUCCGCUUCCGCUCCGCAGGUCACUUGCGUUCCCCUUCUUGAAUCGUCGCACUGCAUUACUUUCCCGCCAAUCCCUCCUUGCAGGUAGCAUGAUUUGUUCCUGCGUCGCCCUCCUUGAUGGCGCCGUGAUUUAUGACGUACAUCAAGCUUUGGGGAAAACAAUUCAGUUGGUUCGGCUCUCGGACCAGGAUGAUCUCAUCAAGUGGAAUCUCACGAACAGCGCCAGUUAUUCUGCUAAUGUCGUUCAAUUUCGUCGGCAGAGCAGGUUUGGAAGAUCAUGGGAGAGGGAAAAUCAGGAGCCUGAAACAGCUGUGUGA